UAGGGAAUCUUCGGCAAUGGACGAAAGUCUGACCGAGCAACGCCGCGUGAGUGAAGAAGGUUUUCGGAUCGUAAAACUCUGUUGGUAGAGAAGAACGUUGGUGAGAGUGGAAAGCUCAUCAAGUGACGGUAACUACCAGAAGGGACGGCUAACUACGUGCCGG
RNAcentral lists this ribosomal RNA (163 nucleotides) under uncultured bacterium. RNAcentral describes it as "partial 16S rRNA". It matches the Rfam family "Bacterial small subunit ribosomal RNA", at positions 355 to 511 of the family's 1533-position model. The record is from RNAcentral.